AGAAAGAAAAAUAUUACAACAAAAUCAAAUUUCUUUUAGAGAAAGAGGGAUGUGACACGUGACAUGAAAGAUCUAUCUCCAAGAGAAAAUAGAAGAAGCAACGGUUUCACGUGUAAGAGAGAGAGAGAGAAGAGAGACGGCGGACGAACGAAGGGUUUGUCGAGAGGAGAUGCUAACAGGAGUAACGCGUUUACACCGCGACGCGCUUUUCACGGGGGUGUUUCAACGACAGGGAAGGCCGUGCUCUUUCUCUCUCUUGGCCGACACCCUUGGCACAACACGUUUGCAAGAACGGAGGGUGUAAACUGAGAAAAGAGAAAGAGAAGUGAGUGCGAAAGAGAGAGAGAGAGAAAGGGACAGGUCUACCAUUCCAACCUCAAAAAGCACAUAACGCUUUGGAGCGUGUCAGGAGGACGCACGUUUAGAACGAAAGCUGUGCAACGAUGCCCACGAUUAGAAACCACAACCGAUUCUCUAUCUCCAAAUUUUUCAUACGUCCUCGUCGAGCUUCCUUCGUCGAACUUUUACACGUCUAAUUAUUACGUAACUUGAUUAUCCAGCAAAACUCGAACUCGGAUCCGAGAUUUUUCCUCGUUGAAAGGAUAAGAAAAUAAAGGGAAGGAGGAAAGAGAAAAAUGAGGAUGAGAUAUAUAGGAAAUCGUAGCACCGACAACGAGGAAAAACAAUUUUACUCCUCCGAGCUAUUUCCUUUCUUCGAGAUGAGUUCCAGGAUGAGAAUGAACAACCGAUUGAAAAACCGCGAAAACGAACAACGAAAGGAGCCCGACUGGAGUUCGUCGAUCUGAAAUUUUCUUCGUGCAAGAGUAGGACGACGAUAUCGAAGAAAGACAGACAGAUGGAUGGAGAGAGACAGAGAGAGAGAGAGAGAGAGAGAGAGAGAGAACUAUACAAGUCGUUGAGUAAGAAGAUAAUCCACAAGUGGACUCACCCUUCCACAGCGGGACGUCGAUGUUAUUGUCUGAUUCUUAGAAUACCAACAACAACAAAAAAAAAAAGAAAGAAAGAAAGAAAAGGAAAGAAACUACUUUUGAAUAAGCAUCGAUCCUGACUGACCCGAGAAUAUGAAAGAAAAUGUUAAACAUAUGACUAGUUUUGUACUCAAGUUCUUUCGUGUAAAAAUAUCCAAAAUGAAAAAGGAGAAAUAUACAUGGCCUAUAUCUUAGAAUACAUACCUAGCGAUCAAACAUCGUGAUAUGCAAAUGGAUCGAACGCAAAAUCGAAGAUACCUACCUAUGUUGUACGUACAAAGAGAGAGAGAGAGAGAGAGAGAGAGAUAGAAAACGUCAUAUAUAUAUAUAUAUAUAUAAAUGUAUAUGUGUAUAUGUAAAUGUCGAAUAUGAGAACGUACACGCUCUGGGCGUUCACGGAUCGUCGAGGCGAAUUAUUCCGCCUGUACGGCCAUUCGUUGUAAUACAGCUUGCGUAUUAUAUUCGCGCUCGGUUCGUCGUAACGCCAUUAAUGGGUUCUGUAAGGUCUUCUUCCCGCCACCAGACUACCACCAGCACCAACACCAACACUAGCACCAACACCAGCACCAAUAUCGUCACUACUACUACUACUAUUACUACUACUAUCUACUAUCCUUCACCCUUCUCGCUUUUCCUCCCUUUACCCAGAACCGUGAAAUCGAUCGACUAGCAGAACCUAAUGGCGCCAUCCCGUAUAGCGAAACGCGGAAAAUAGCGGAGGCGUAAGAGAGGGGGAUCGGAGAAGAGAGAAGAGGGAGAGGGGUAGAAAGAGAGAUACGAUGAAAAUUCGACGAAACUUCUCUUGAAACUGCAUACUUUUACGAUUCCUGUCUUUCUUCCUAUCUCAAAACAAUCGAUAAGAUAUAAAAAUGAAAGAUUUAUUUAGAAUGGAUUUAAAACGAAUAUAUUUGUGAUCAAUGUAUUUUUAUCAAGACUAUUAUCAUUUGCCAAUUGGUUUAGCAAAUAACUCGAACGAAUAAAUAAAUAUAUAUAUAUAUAUGUAUAUAUGUAUAUAUAUAGAUAAUAUUUAUUAAUGUUCGAGUUAAAGAUAACUUAAAUUGAAGAGGGAAGAAAGAGUGUAAAAAUAAUAUUGAACUGGCUUGGCCGUUUGGAAGGAAAAACGAGGAAGAAACGAGUAAAGAAAGAGAGAAAAAAAAAAGAGAAAAAAGGGACAAUCAAGAAAGCAAGAAGGCAAAGAGACGAUUCUCGUUUCACGAGAGUUUGCUAAUUACAUCGAUUCGAAAUGCUCGCGAUUUGGUGGACGAGAACGAGGAGAAAAGUAAAGUGCAACUAUUGCAUUAAAUUUAACGAUCGCUUAAGUUUAGUUCGAAUCGUAAAGUGUAGAUACGUGGUACGUGUAUUCGCAUUUAAACACUAACCACAAAGUCAAAUAUUUCGGUUCGUAACUUGGACCACUUGUCGUCUCUCGAUCGAACGUGACGAGUAAACGCAACGAAACGAAACGAAACGAAACGAAGCCAAACGAAACGAAACGAAACGAAACGAAA
This is a long non-coding RNA of Vespula vulgaris, 2497 nucleotides long. RefSeq lists it as uncharacterized. The transcript is spliced from 3 exons. NCBI's taxonomy places the organism in Eukaryota, Metazoa, Arthropoda, Insecta, Hymenoptera, Vespidae. The record is from RefSeq and is a predicted model, not a curated record.